RNAcentral lists this ribosomal RNA (532 nucleotides) under uncultured bacterium. Its description in RNAcentral is "partial 16S ribosomal RNA". It matches the Rfam family "Bacterial small subunit ribosomal RNA", at positions 355 to 903 of the family's 1533-position model. The record is from RNAcentral.
UGGGGAAUAUUGCACAAUGGGCGAAAGCCUGAUGCAGCAACGCCGCGUGAGUGAUGAAGGUCUUCGGAUUGUAAAGCUCUGUCUUUUGGGACGAUAAUGACGGUACCAAAGGAGGAAGCCACGGCUAACUACGUGCCAGCAGCCGCGGUAAUACGUAGGUGGCGAGCGUUGUCCGGAUUUACUGGGCAUAAAGGGUGCGUAGGCGGAUGUUUAAGUGAGAUGUGAAAUACCCGGGCUUAACUUGGGUGCUGCAUUUCAAACUGGAUAUCUAGAGUGCAGGAGAGGAGAAUGGAAUUCCUAGUGUAGCGGUGAAAUGCGUAGAGAUUAGGAAGAACACCAGUGGCGAAGGCGAUUCUCUGGACUGUAACUGACGCUGAGGCACGAAAGCGUGGGUAGCAAACAGGAUUAGAUACCCUGGUAGUCCACGCCGUAAACGAUGAGUACUAGGUGUAGGAGGUAUCGACCCCUUCUGUGCCGCAGUAAACACAUUAAGUACUCCGCCUGGGAAGUACGAUCGCAAGAUUAAAACUCU